Molecule: ribosomal RNA, 823 nt
Filed under: uncultured bacterium
Lineage: Bacteria
Description: bacterial SSU rRNA
Rfam family: Bacterial small subunit ribosomal RNA
Source: RNAcentral
AGAGUUUGAUCCUGGCUCAGGACGAACGCUGGCGGCGUGCCUAAUACAUGCAAGUCGAGCGAAGUUUUUCUGGUGCUUGCACUAGAAAAACUUAGCGGCGAACGGGUGAGUAACACGUAAAGAACCUGCCUUAUAGACUGGGACAACUAUUGGAAACGAUAGCUAAUACCGGAUAACAGCAUUAACUGCAUGGUUGAUGUUUAAAAGUUGGUUUUGCUAACACUAUGAGAUGGCUUUGCGGUGCAUUAGCUAGUUGGUGGGGUAAAGGCCUACCAAGGCGACGAUGCAUAGCCGACCUGAGAGGGUGAUCGGCCACACUGGGACUGAGACACGGCCCAGACUCCUACGGGAGGCAGCAGUAGGGAAUCUUCCGCAAUGGGCGAAAGCCUGACGGAGCAACGCCGCGUGAGUGAAGAAGGAUUUCGGUUCGUAAAGCUCUGUUGUUAGGGAAGAAUGAUUGUGUAGUAACUAUACACAGUAGAGACGGUACCUAACCAGAAAGCCACGGCUAACUACGUGCCAGCAGCCGCGGUAAUACGUAGGUGGCAAGCGUUGUCCGGAAUUAUUGGGCGUAAAGCGCGCGCAGGUGGUUUAAUAAGUCUGAUGUGAAAGCCCACGGCUCAACCGUGGAGGGUCAUUGGAAACUGUUAAACUUGAGUGCAGGAGAGAAAAGUGGAAUUCCUAGUGUAGCGGUGAAAUGCGUAGAGAUUAGGAGGAACACCAGUGGCGAAGGCGGCUUUUUGGCCUGUAACUGACACUGAGGCGCGAAAGCGUGGGGAGCAAACCAGGAUUAGAUACCCUGGUAGUCCACGCCGUAAACGAU